UACAGAGGGGGCAAGCGUUGUUCGGAAUUACUGGGCGUAAAGGGCGCGUAGGCGGCCUUCUAAGUCGAACGUGAAAUCCCCGGGCUCAACCCGGGAACUGCGUCCGAUACUGGAAGGCUUGAAUCCGGGAGAGGGAUGCGGAAUUCCAGGUGUAGCGGUGAAAUGCGUAGAUAUCUGGAGGAACACCGGUGGCGAAGGCGGCAUCCUGGACCGGUAUUGACGCGUGAGGCGCGAAAGCCAGGGGA
RNAcentral lists this ribosomal RNA (245 nucleotides) under uncultured bacterium. RNAcentral describes it as "partial 16S ribosomal RNA". It matches the Rfam family "Bacterial small subunit ribosomal RNA", at positions 524 to 767 of the family's 1533-position model. The record is from RNAcentral.